GACGAACGCUUGCGGCGUGCUUAACACAUGCAAGUCGAACGGAAAGGCCCUGCUUUUGUGGGGUGCUCGAGUGGCGAACGGGUGAGUAACACGUGAGUAACCUGCCCUUGACUUUGGGAUAACUUCAGGAAACUGGGGCUAAUACCGGAUAGGAGCUCCUGCUGCAUGGUGGGGGUUGGAAAGUUUCGGCGGUUGGGGAUGGACUCGCGGCUUAUCAGCUUGUUGGUGGGGUAGUGGCUUACCAAGGCUUUGACGGGUAGCCGGCCUGAGAGGGUGACCGGCCACAUUGGGACUGAGAUACGGCCCAGACUCCUACGGGAGGCAGCAGUGGGGAAUAUUGCACAAUGGGCGGAAGCCUGAUGCAGCAACGCCGCGUGCGGGAUGACGGCCUUCGGGUUGUAAACCGCUUUCGCCUGUGACGAAGCGUGAGUGACGGUAAUGGGUAAAGAAGCACCGGCUAACUACGUGCCAGCAGCCGCGGUGAUACGUAGGGUGCGAGCGUUGUCCGGAUUUAUUGGGCGUAAAGGGCUCGUAGGUGGUUGAUCGCGUCGGAAGUGUAAUCUUGGGGCUUAACCCUGAGCGUGCUUUCGAUACGGGUUGACUUGAGGAAGGUAGGGGAGAAUGGAAUUCCUGGUGGAGCGGUGGAAUGCGCAGAUAUCAGGAGGAACACCAGUGGCGAAGGCGGUUCUCUGGGCCUUUCCUGACGCUGAGGAGCGAAAGCGUGGGGAGCGAACAGGCUUAGAUACCCUGGUAGUCCACGCUGUAAACGGUGGGUACUAGGUGUGGGGUCCAUUCCACGGGUUCCGUGCCGUAGCUAACGCUUUAAGUACCCCGCCUGGGGAGUACGGCCGCAAGGCUAAAACUCAAAGGAAUUGACGGGGCCCCGCACAAGCGGCGGAGCAUGCGGAUUAAUUCGAUGCAACGCGUAGAACCUUACCUGGGUUUGACAUGGAUCGGGAGUGCUCAGAGAUGGGUGUGCCUCUUUUGGGGUCGGUUCACAGGAGGUGCAUGCCUGUCGUCAGCUCGUGUCGUGAGAUGUUGGGUUAAGUCCCGCAACGAGCGCAACCCUUGUUCACUGUUGCCAGCACGUUAUGGUGGGGACUCAGUGGAGACCGCCGGGGUCAACUCGGAGGAAGGUGGGGAUGACGUCAAGUCCUCAUGCCCCUUAUGUCCAGGGCUUCACGCAUGCUACAAUGGCUGGUACAGAGAGUGGCGAGCCUGUGAGGGUGAGCGAAUCUCGGAAAGCCGGUCUCAGUUCGGAUUGGGGUCUGCAACUCGACCUCAUGAAGUCGGAGUCGCUAGUAAUCGCAGAUCAGCAACGCUGCGGUGAAUACGUUCCCGGGGC
Molecule: ribosomal RNA, 1345 nt
Filed under: uncultured bacterium
Lineage: Bacteria
Description: bacterial SSU rRNA
Rfam family: Bacterial small subunit ribosomal RNA
Source: RNAcentral